Molecule: ribosomal RNA, 282 nt
Filed under: uncultured bacterium
Lineage: Bacteria
Description: partial small subunit ribosomal RNA
Rfam family: Bacterial small subunit ribosomal RNA
Source: RNAcentral
AGAACGAACGCUGGCGGCGUGGAUAAGACAUGCAAGUCGAACGGGAUUUCAGGUGCAGCAAUGCAUCUGGAGUCCAGUGGCGUAAGGGUGCGUAACACGUGGGCAAUCUGCCGAAGAGUGGGGGAUAGCUCGUCGAAAGGCGAAUUAAUACCGCAUGCGGCUAGUGGAGCAUCUCCACGAGGCCAAAGCCGGGGAUCCAGCAAUGGACCUGGCGCUUCUUUGAUGGGCCCGCGGCCUAUCAGCUUGUUGGUGAGGUAACGCUCACCAAGGCGACGACGGGUA